AGCAGCCGCGGUAAUUCCAGCUCCAAUAGCGUAUAUUAAAGUUGUUGCAGUUAAAAAGCUCGUAGUUGAAUUUCGGGGUCUGUCCAUCGGUCGGGCUUCACGGUCCGUACUGGUGAGAUGGGUUCCUACCUUCCGAAUAACCGGCAUGCCAUUCAGUUGGUGCGCCGGGGAAGCAGAGCUAUUACCUUGAAAAAUUAGAGUGCUUAAAGCAGGCUAUUGCUUGAAUAGAUUAGCAUGGAAUAAUAAAUAGGACGGCAUGGUUCUACUUUGUUGGUUUCUAGGAUCACCGUAAUGAUUAAUAGGGAUAGUUGGGGGCAUUAGUAUUCAAUUGUCAGAGGUGAAAUUCUUGGAUUUAUUGAAGACUAACUUCUGCGAAAGCAGUUUGCCAAGGAUGUUUUCAUUAAUCAAGAACGAAAGUUAGGGGAUCGAAGACGAUCAGAUACCGUCGUAGUCUUAACCAUAAACUAUGCCGACUAGGGAUCGGACGAUGUUAAUUUUUAAUGACUCGUUCGCGCCUUAC
This 520-nucleotide unclassified non-coding RNA is filed under the name uncultured Acaulospora. Its description in RNAcentral is "SSU rRNA". It matches the Rfam family "Eukaryotic small subunit ribosomal RNA", at positions 569 to 1091 of the family's 1831-position model. The record is from RNAcentral. Lineage: Eukaryota; Fungi; Glomeromycota; Glomeromycetes; Diversisporales; Acaulosporaceae.